RNAcentral lists this ribosomal RNA (590 nucleotides) under Tetracapsuloides sp. 3 PBS-2014. RNAcentral's name for it is "SSU rRNA". It matches the Rfam family "Eukaryotic small subunit ribosomal RNA", at positions 871 to 1490 of the family's 1831-position model. The record is from RNAcentral. Lineage: Eukaryota; Metazoa; Cnidaria; Myxozoa; Malacovalvulida; Saccosporidae.
AAAAGAGACAUUUGGGGGCAUAAGAACUCGGCCGCGAGAGGUGAAAUUCUAAGACCGGCCGGGGUCUAACAAGAGCGAAAGCAUUUGCCAAGAAUGUUUUCAUUGAUCAAGAACGAAAGUUGGAGGAGCGAAAACGAUCAGAUACCGUUGUAGUUCCAACUUUAAACUAUGCCGACUGUCGGGGCCAGUUCGGUACAUCCGUACUAAUUGACCUCCCAGGGAAACCCUAGCAGGGUUCUGGGGGGAGUACGGUCGCAAGUCUGAAACUUAAAGGAAUUGACGGAAGGGCACCACCAGGAGUGGAGCCUGCGGCUUAAUUUGACUCAACGCGGGGAAACUUUCCCGGUCCGGACAUCGGAAGGAUUGACAGACUAAUCGCUCUUUCAUGAUACGGUGGGGAGUGGUGCAUGGCCGUUCAUAGUUGGUGGAGCGAUUUGUCUGGUUAAUUCCGUUAACGAACGAGAUUUUAUCCUUUAUUUAGUAGAUUUAAUUGGGGUUUAAAUCAACUAUUUAAAGGGACUAACGAUAUUUAAAAUCGUUGGAUGAAAAACAAUAACAGGUCUGUUAUGCCCUUAGAUGUCCGGGGCCGC